This 238-nucleotide ribosomal RNA is filed under the name uncultured bacterium. Its description in RNAcentral is "partial 16S ribosomal RNA". It matches the Rfam family "Bacterial small subunit ribosomal RNA", at positions 96 to 334 of the family's 1533-position model. The record is from RNAcentral.
CGGCGGACGGGUGAGUAACGCGUGGGUAACCUGCCUCAUACAGGGGGAUAACAGUUAGAAAUAGCUGCUAAUACCGCAUAAGACCACAGUACUGCAUGGUACAGUGGUAAAAACUCCGGUGGUAUGAGAUGGACCCGCGUCUGAUUAGGUAGUUGGUGGGGUAACGGCCCACCAAGCCGACGAUCAGUAGCCGACCUGAGAGGGUGACCGGCCACAUUGGGACUGAGACACGGCCCAG